GACACACGGCGGGUGCUAACGUCCGUCGUGAAGAGGGAAACAACCCAGACCGCCAGCUAAGGUCCCAAAGUCAUGGUUAAGUGGGAAACGAUGUGGGAAGGCCCAGACAGCCAGGAUGUUGGCUUAGAAGCAGCCAUCAUUUAAAGAAAGCGUAAUAGCUCACUGGUCGAGUCGGCCUGCGCGGAAGAUGUAACGGGGCUAAACCAUGCACCGAAGCUGCGGCAGCGACACUGUGUGUUGUUGGGUAGGGGAGCGUUCUGUAAGCCUGCGAAGGUGGCCUGUGAGGGUUGCUGGAGGUAUCAGAAGUGCGAAUGCUGACAUAAGUAACGAUAAAGCGGGUGAAAAGCCCGCUCGCCGGAAGACCAAGGGUUCCUGUCCAACGUUAAUCGGGGCAGGGUGAGUCGACCCCUAAGGCGAGGCCGAAAGGCGUAGUCGAUGGGAAACGGGUUAAUAUUCCCGUACUUGGUGUUACUGCGAAGGGGGGACGGAGAAGGCUAUGUUGGCCGGGCGACGGUUGUCCCGGUUUAAGCGUGUAGGUGUGUGUUCCAGGUAAAUCCGGUUCACUUUAACACUGAGGCGUGACGACGAGGCACUACGGUGCUGAAGCAACAAAUGCCCUGCUUCCAGGAAAAGCCUCUAAGCAUCAGGUAACAUCAAAUCGUACCCCAAACCGACACAGGUGGUCAGGUAGAGAAUACCAAGGCGCUUGAGAGAACUCGGGUGAAGGAACUAGGCAAAAUGGUGCCGUAACUUCGGGAGAAGGCACGCUGACACGUAGGUGAAGUGAUUUACUCAUGGAGCUGAAGUCAGUCGAAGAUACCAGCUGGCUGCAACUGUUUAUUAAAAACACAGCACUGUGCAAACACGAAAGUGGACGUAUACGGUGUGACGCCUGCCCGGUGCCGGAAGGUUAAUUGAUGGGGUCAGCGCAAGCGAAGCUCCUGAUCGAAGCCCCGGUAAACGGCGGCCGUAACUAUAACGGUCCUAAGGUAGCGAAAUUCCUUGUCGGGUAAGUUCCGACCUGCACGAAUGGCGUAAUGAUGGCCAGGCUGUCUCCACCCGAGACUCAGUGAAAUUGAACUCGCUGUGAAGAUGCAGUGUACCCGCGGCAAGACGGAAAGACCCCGUGAACCUUUACUAUAGCUUGACACUGAACAUUGAGCCUUGAUGUGUAGGAUAGGUGGGAGGCUUUGAAGUGUGGACGCCAGUCUGCAUGGAGCCGACCUUGAAAUACCACCCUUUAAUGUUUGAUGUUCUAACGUGGACCCGUUACCCGGGUUGCGGACAGUGUCUGGUGGGUAGUUUGACUGGGGCGGUCUCCUCCUAAAGAGUAACGGAGGAGCACGAAGGUUGGCUAAUCCUGGUCGGACAUCAGGAGGUUAGUGCAAUGGCAUAAGCCAGCUUGACUGCGAGCGUGACGGCGCGAGCAGGUGCGAAAGCAGGUCAUAGUGAUCCGGUGGUUCUGAAUGGAAGGGCCAUCGCUCAACGGAUAAAAGGUACUCCGGGGAUAACAGGCUGAUACCGCCCAAGAGUUCAUAUCGACGGCGGUGUUUGGCACCUCGAUGUCGGCUCAUCACAUCCUGGGGCUGAAGUAGGUCCCAAGGGUAUGGCUGUUCGCCAUUUAAAGUGGUACGCGAGCUGGGUUUAGAACGUCGUGAGACAGUUCGGUCCCUAUCUGCCGUGG
Molecule: ribosomal RNA, 1684 nt
Filed under: Salmonella enterica subsp. enterica serovar Enteritidis
Lineage: Bacteria; Pseudomonadati; Pseudomonadota; Gammaproteobacteria; Enterobacterales; Enterobacteriaceae
Description: partial 23S ribosomal RNA
Rfam family: Bacterial large subunit ribosomal RNA
Source: RNAcentral